Molecule: RNA transcript, 1133 nt
Organism: Mercenaria mercenaria
Lineage: Eukaryota; Metazoa; Mollusca; Bivalvia; Venerida; Veneridae
Exons: 6
Source: RefSeq, a predicted model, not a curated record
GGAGUUAAUUGGCAUGGUCUAAAUUAAAGCUUGUUUCUGUUUGAAUUUCAUUCUGGACGUAUUUUUGACAUUUUGGUAGAAAAAAAUGGGACAGGAGGUUGUAUUUAGUGAAUGAAACUCAAUUUUAGUAUGAGUAAUACUUCCAGGUCACAGCAGUGUGAUUUUAAAAUGAGGGAUGAACAAUGGCUUCAGAUCUGUACGGAGAGGCAUAUAUACCUUAUUACAAUCAUCUGAUAGAAAUUCUUGAAACUACUAAGGAAUUAAAGAAGACUACAACAGAAUCAGAUGAAAGAGUGUGCACAUCUAGUUAUUAGAAGUAUGCCUAUUGUAUGAACUGAUGUUACUAGUCAGAGAAAUCAGAUGUCUUCAGUGACUUAGAUAAUGCUACAGGAUGAUAUGAGAUCAAAGGCAAAUUUCAUCAAAGAUCAAACAUAAAUUACAAAAUAUUUCAACUAAAUUAAAUGGCUGGAAUGAAGUUCCUAACCCUGGUGAUGGUUUUGGAAAAGAAAAGCAAAGAGACAGUCUGAUGACACCUUGUACUGAGCCUACAAUUCUCCAAAAAUGAUUUUGUUGUAUAAGAAAGCAGUUGAAUUAUGCACUUCCGGGAACAUUUGCAGGAAUAUGGAUAGGAGGUAUGGUUGCAGGUCCGCUAGGGGCUGUUGUUGGGGGAUUUGCAGGUUUAAGUGUUGGUUUCUAUGCAUGUUCUUCGGAAGACUACAACUCAAUGAUUACAGUGAUGAAAAAUCUCAGUGAUUCUGACAAACAACGACUGGUGGAGAAGAUACAGGAAGUUGUCGGAAGCUUGUCUCCGGACAAAUUAACAACUGACUUCCUUCUUUCUCAGAAAGGUGAAUCGUUAAUGAAAACAGUGGAAAACUUUUUACGAAACACAAAAGGAAGUAAAAAAUAAACAAGUAUCUACAGAUUUACAUAACAGCAUAACAUGUGUCGUCAAUACUAAUGUAAAACGAAAUUUUGUAACAGAGUUACCAACGUCCCCAAACAAGGGACGUUUUAACAAAAAUUACUGCAUCUUCUUCUAUUUUAUAGGGCAACAUACUAAAAAUGUAUAUAAAUCAUAACUAUGUAUCAUAUAAUUCAUAAAAUAUUAUGUACAUGUAGUUUGAAAAAUG